GAUGAACGCUGGCGGCGUGCCUAAUACAUGCAAGUCGAGCGAACGGACGAGAAGCUUGCUUCUCUGAUGUUAGCGGCGGACGGGUGAGUAACACGUGGAUAACCUACCUAUAAGACUGGGAUAACUUCGGGAAACCGGAGCUAAUACCGGAUGAUAUUUUGAACCGCAUGGUUCAAAAGUGAAAGACGGUCUUGCUGUCACUUAUAGAUGGAUCCGCGCUGCAUUAGCUAGUUGGUAAGGUAACGGCUUACCAAGGCAACGAUGCAUAGCCGACCUGAGAGGGGUGACGGACGCAGUGGUACUGAGAUACGGCGCAGACGGGUGCGGCAGGCAGCAGUGGGGAAGAUAGGACGGUGGGCGGAAGCCUGAUGCAGCGACGCAGCGUGGGGGAUGUCGGCCUUCGGGUUGUAAACUACUUUCGACCGCGAGGAAGCCACCUGGUUGGAAGGGUGGUGACGGUAGUGGUAGAAGAAGCACCGGCUAACUACGUG
RNAcentral lists this ribosomal RNA (491 nucleotides) under uncultured bacterium. Its description in RNAcentral is "partial 16S ribosomal RNA". It matches the Rfam family "Bacterial small subunit ribosomal RNA", at positions 28 to 507 of the family's 1533-position model. The record is from RNAcentral.